This 469-nucleotide ribosomal RNA is filed under the name uncultured bacterium. RNAcentral's name for it is "partial 16S ribosomal RNA". It matches the Rfam family "Bacterial small subunit ribosomal RNA", at positions 28 to 507 of the family's 1533-position model. The record is from RNAcentral.
GACGAACGCUGGCGGCGUGCUUAACACAUGCAAGUCGAACGGUGAAGCGAGUGCUUGCACUCGUGGAUCAGUGGCGAACGGGUGAGUAACACGUGAGUAACCUGCCCAUCACUCUGGGAUAAGCACUGGAAACGGUGUCUAAUACUGGAUACGACCAACCCUUGCAUGGGGCGGUGGGGGAAAGAUUUAUCGGUGGUGGAUGGACUCGCGGCUUAUCAGCUUGUUGGCGGGGUAAUGGCUCACCAAGGCGACGACGGGUAGCCGGCCUGAGAGGGUGACCGGCCACACUGGGACUGAGACACGGCCCAGACUCCUACGGGAGGCAGCAGUGGGGAAUAUUGCACAAUGGGCGAAAGCCUGAUGCAGCGACGCCGCGUGAGGGAUGACGGCCUUCGGGUUGUAAACCUCUUUCAGCAGGGAAGAAGCGAGAGUGACGGUACCUGCAGAAGAAGCACCGGCUAACUACGUG